GUCACGCGUGGGAAUCUACACCUCUGUCCCGAGUAUCGCAUGCAUACGUGUGCUAAUACCGUAUACGUCCUUCCGGAGAACAAUUUAUCGGAGAUGGAUGAGCCCGCGUUGGAUUAGCUAGUUGGUGGGGUAAAGGCCUACCAAGGCGACGAUCCAUAGCUGGUGUGACAGGAUGAUCACCCACACUGGGACUGACAGGAGCACCUCACUUAACGGGAGGCAGCAGUGGGGAAUAUUGGACAAUGGGCGCAAGCCUGAUCCAGCCAUGCCGCGUGAGUGAUGAAGGCCCUAGGGUUGUAAAGCUCUUUCACCGGUGAAGAUAAUGACGGUAACCGGAGAAGAAGCCCCGGCUAACUUCGUGCCAGCAGCCGCGGUAAUACGAAGGGGGCUAGCGUUGUUCGGAUUUACUGGGCGUAAAGCGCACGUAGGCGGACUAUUAAGUCAGGGGUGAAAUCCCGGGGCUCAACCCCGGAACUGCCUUUGAUACUGGUAGUCUUGAGUUCGAGAGAGGUGAGUGGAAUUCCGAGUGUAGAGGUGAAAUUCGUAGA
RNAcentral lists this ribosomal RNA (548 nucleotides) under Phyllobacterium sp. TDB-211. RNAcentral's name for it is "bacterial SSU rRNA". It matches the Rfam family "Bacterial small subunit ribosomal RNA", at positions 110 to 694 of the family's 1533-position model. The record is from RNAcentral. Lineage: Bacteria; Pseudomonadati; Pseudomonadota; Alphaproteobacteria; Hyphomicrobiales; Phyllobacteriaceae.